Long non-coding RNA from Amborella trichopoda, 820 nucleotides. RefSeq lists it as uncharacterized. The record is from RefSeq and is a predicted model, not a curated record. NCBI's taxonomy places the organism in Eukaryota, Viridiplantae, Streptophyta, Magnoliopsida, Amborellales, Amborellaceae.
CCAAAAUCCUCCAAAGGCGGUGAUCUGCUUGCGGGGAUAAGUGUACAGUACCAUCCUACGGGAUCAUCGUGCACAGUUCGACUGUUGAAAGGUUUUCGAGAAUCGUACUCGUACAGGAGUCAUUCAAGUGGGUGGUAGAUGUUGGUGCCUUCCAAGGAGAUGAAUGCUGGAUUCCAUCUGAAGUCCAUGCCGAACGCCCCCUGGUUUUUGACCCUUGACCUACGCUGCAUUUUUUACGUUUUUAAAUUGAAUUCCUCUAUAGAGUUAGGGUCCAAGUAGACUGCCCUCAGCAACAAAAAUAUCAGGAUUGAGAGAUGAAGGGUUGGAGGGUCUCCCCGAUGGUGCCCAUGGUCCUGCUGCUCCUUGCCAUUCUUUCAUGUCCCAUUGCAGCUAAACCCAAACUACUGCAAGGGGAAUGCACAUGAAUAGGUGAGUCAACUCAUCAAAAUUGGAUCCAUCUCUUUCAGAGAUGGUGGUUGCCCGAAGAGGGAGGCUUGCCCCUCCUCCUCCAAAACCCAAUGGAAAUUUGCAAUGGAGGCGUUCAAUUCCAAAGCCAGACCCUGAAGAACCUUCUCCUCCACCACCUCCCCCUGAAGAAUGAACUUUGGAAGCUAAUGGAGUUGAUUUAUGUGGUUGUCUGCAUUUCUCAAGGGAGAAUAGCAUUUUCUUGCACUUCUUUUGCACGUCAUACUCAUUAUAAAAAGUUUUUUACCAUACUCAAUGUUUCUAUUUACCUACAAUAUUUCCCCUUUUCUUUAGUGAUAUACUUGAGAAGUUCCAAUGGAAAUUCACUUGCAGGAAUGCUCAAAAAAGGUUUUAA